AACAGCUCAAAUUUGAAAUCUGGCUCCCUUGGGGGUCCGAGUUGUAAUUUGUAGAGGAUGCUUCGGGCAAGGCUGCGGUCUAAUUCGCUUGGAACAGCGGGUCACAGAGGGUGAGAAUCCCGUCUAGGACCGUGCGCCGCGUCCGUGUGAAGCUCCUUCGACGAGUCGAGUUGUUUGGGAAUGCAGCUCUAAAUGGGUGGUAAAUUUCAUCUAAAGCUAAAUAUUGGCCAGAGACCGAUAGCGCACAAGUAGAGUGAUCGAAAGAUGAAAAGCACUUUGAAAAGAGAGUUAAACAGUAUGUGAAAUUGUUGAAAGGGAAGCGCUUGCAACCAGACUUGCGUGUGACGGUUCCCCCCACCUUCUGGUGGGGCUACUCCGUCAUCUCCAGGCCAGCAUCGGUUUGGGUGGUCGGUUAAAGACCCCGGGAAUGUAUCUACCUUCGGGUCGACUUAUAGCCCGGGGUGCAAUGCGACCCACCCGGACCGAGGAACGCGCUUCGGCCCGGAUGCUGGCGUAAUGGUUGUAAGCGGCCCGUCUUGAAACACGGACCAAGGAGUCUAACAUCUAUGCGAGUGUUUGGGUGUCAAACCCCUACGCGUAAUGAAAGUGAACGGAGGUGAGAACCCCGCAAGGGGCGCAUCAUCGACCGAUCCUGAUGUCUUCGGAUGGAUUUGAGUAAGAGCAUAGCUGUUGGGACCCGAAAGAUGGUGAACUAUGCCUGAAUAGGGUGAAGCCAGAGGAAACUCUGGUGGAGGCUCGCAGCGGUUCUGACGUGCAAAUCGAUCGUCAAAUUUGGGCAUAGGGGCGAAAGACCAAUCGAACCAUCCUCAUGGCAAUCCUGUAAAGAAACAGAUGUGUGAGGUUCUCAUAGCCGAAGGCUCUGAGUAGUAAGAUUACAUCUUUAAGCGUUGCCAGGUGGUUAAUUUCCCAACUUUGAGUUGGGUCAGUCUGAUACCUUGGUAUUGGGCGACGUCGUCAGUCUUCGGGGAUGUCCUUACGGCUAUCCGAAGCCGUCCUUAUGUCGGGACGGUUCACAGACUAGACAGUGACGGCCGGAGCCUUUUGACCGGCGACGGUGAUUAUAUAGUCGAGUAAAGUUAAUGGAUCUUGCGAGUAUUUUAACCAGAAUACUCGGUAGACCGUACGUGAUCAUGUACGCCUUAUUAGGCUCGUAGGCUUCUUUGAGGUUGGUCUUGAGAGAAUUCCGUAACUUUUGAACGCUGGUAGCUGGUUCCUGUCGAAGUUUCCCUCAGGAUAGCAGUAACGUUUUCAGUUUUAUGAGGUAAAGCGAAUGAUUAGAGGCCUUGGGGUUGAAACAACCUUAACCUAUUCUCAAACUUUAAAUAUGUAAGAAGUCCUUGUUGCUUAAUUGAAC
This 1375-nucleotide ribosomal RNA is filed under the name Thelidium umbilicatum. RNAcentral's name for it is "eukaryotic LSU rRNA". It matches the Rfam family "Eukaryotic large subunit ribosomal RNA", at positions 103 to 1100 of the family's 3401-position model. The record is from RNAcentral. Lineage: Eukaryota; Fungi; Ascomycota; Eurotiomycetes; Verrucariales; Verrucariaceae.